AUAUGCGCCACCCUGUAUAGGAAUCGUAAACAAUAAUAUAAAUAUUUCAUAAAAAUAAGUUAAAACCUUGGACCGGUUUGUGAAUAAAUUUGAACCCUACUAUUUGAAGCAUUUACGUAUUUAGUUUUUCUGAGCAAAACCUUUGAACUUAUAGGUUUCUUAAUUUGUAUACAAAGUGAGGGAUCUAAAAAAAUGUGUACUAUUUUUAUUGCAAUGUAAGGACUUUAGAGUUUUCUGUUAGUCUCUUCUUUAUACAAUUUCCAGUUAAACAUUUUUAUUUUAAGAAUUAACUUAUGUGAAUAAUUUUUUAUUGUUGUAUGUCAAAUCAGGCUGGAAAACUACCCCCAGUUCCUAACUCUAUUGCUGUUGGGAGGCCUGCAACAUCCCGUCGUGGCAGCAGUUGCUGGUACAACCUGGUGUCUCGGCAGGAUCGCCUACGCUAGGGGCUACUACUCUGGAGAUCCCUCGAAGAGAAUGCAGGGAGGAUUUGGCUACUUUGGUCUGUUUACUCUGGUCGGGCUGACAGUGAAGCUGGGUAUCAACACACUCGGGUGGAUGUAGACAGUUCGAGUGGUUGUGUAAAAGCACUUAGUUUUUUCCACAAAUAGAGCUGAUAAGAUAAAAAUUGUGUCAAUUCAUUGUCUGCUUUCACUUUUGAGUAUGCUAAAAGUACUAAUAUAUGACACAAUAUGCCUUUGUCCUAAAAAAUAAGUGUUCUGUAUGCGUACAAAGAUUUAGCUUUAUACUAUUUAAAAAAAAUUUGUUACUGUUCUCCAUUUUGAAUCAUGUAAAGAAGAUUUAGUCCACAAAGAAACAAGUAAAAAAGCAUGUUCCCUGCAUCACAGAUUAUACCCAAGCAAUGAAUACAUUUUGACCUUAUGGCUCGAUAUUAAUGUUUUACUUUUAGCCUAGCAGCGCAACGUUGCUUUUAUCCAAAGUCUGCGUAUCAAAAUAACAGUUUUGUUAAGAUUAAGUUGUACCCAAACUUGAAUUAUAGUAUUUAAUAGGAAUUUUAAACAGUUACUUAUCAUAAAAACAUUAGUAAUUUUCAAAUCAAAAGACAGUAUAAUGUAUUAAAAGAGUGAGCCUACAGGAAACUAAUUGUCUAAAAGGUUUUUAUAUAACGUAUGUGUUACAGAGGAAGAAACAGGUCUUUCAGUGUUAUUUAACGCACAUAUACUUAUAUUUUAUUUAUACUUGUUAUCAAUUUUGUUACAUUUGAAUACAAUUUUAUUUCUAUUUAUCAUGGCAGUUGUGGAUAGCCUGAGGAUAAUUCUUUUGAUAGUGUUAGUAAUAUAACACUUACAACCAAUUUAAAUUUAAAUUCAGUGUAAUUUAUGUUAUGAAAUAUCUAUCUAUGCUCUUAGAUGUUUAUUUCUAGUAUUAGUUCUCUAGUAGUAUAUUAGUGUGUAUACAAUAGUAUAUUAGUUCUCCAUAUCAACCAAUUACAUUCUAUUAAUUGUAUGCAUUAUGAGCAGUAUUUUGUAUUUGAAACAUAGAAUAGAUGUUGAAUGAUUGUUUCCAAUAGAUGUUGAAAUGAUCGUGGUUGAUCAGUGUAAUGAGUAUAGUUAAAGCAAUACUAAAACACUAAUCACCAAAUCCUACCUUAAAAGCGUGCCGACCAAUCCUACCUCCUUAGCUGAGAAUGUGAAUGAUUUAUGUUAUUGAUGUAAAGGAGUGUUAAAUACCUAUUUAUCUUGUGAGACUUUUAUACUGUGUUCCUGAGAUUUAUAAAUGCUGUACAUGUAAUAUUUUGUGAUUGUUAUCUUGUCAAAAGAAAUAAAAACUUUUGGCUUA
RNAcentral lists this long non-coding RNA (1797 nucleotides) under Homalodisca vitripennis (glassy-winged sharpshooter). RNAcentral's name for it is "uncharacterized LOC124356705". Lineage: Eukaryota; Metazoa; Arthropoda; Insecta; Hemiptera; Cicadellidae. The record is from RNAcentral.